AACGAACGCUGGCGGCAUGCCUAACACAUGCAAGUCGAACGAGACCUUCGGGUCUAGUGGCGCACGGGUGCGUAACGCGUGGGAACCUGCCCUUAGGCUUGGAAUUACUCCCUGAAAGGGGGGCUAAUACCGGAUAAUUUCCUCUGACCAAAGAUUCAUCGUCUUUGGAUGGGCCCGGGUUGGAUUAGCUAGUUGGUAGGGUAAAAGCCUAUCAAGGCGACGAUCCAUAGCUGGGCAGAGAGGAUGGUCAGCCACACUGGGGGUGAGACACGGCCCAGACUACUAGGGGAGGCGGGAGAGAGGAAUAUAGGCAUAUGGGCUAAAGCAUGAAGCAGUUAUGCCGGGAGAGUGAUGAAGGCGUUAGGGUAGUAAAGCUCUUUUAGCCGGGAUGAUAAUGACGGUACCGGGAGAAUAAGCACCGGCUAACUCCGUG
This 433-nucleotide ribosomal RNA is filed under the name uncultured bacterium. RNAcentral's name for it is "partial 16S ribosomal RNA". It matches the Rfam family "Bacterial small subunit ribosomal RNA", at positions 29 to 507 of the family's 1533-position model. The record is from RNAcentral.